GCAGCCGCGGUAAUUCCAGCUCCAAUAGCGUAUAUUAAGUUGUUGCAGUUAAAAAGCUCGUAGUUGAACCUUGGGUCUGGCUGGCCGGUCCGCCUCACCGCGAGUACUGGUCCGGCUGGACCUUUCCUUCUGGGGAACCUCAUGGCCUUCACUGGCUGUGGGGGGAACCAGGACUUUUACUGUGAAAAAAUUAGAGUGUUCAAAGCAGGCCUUUGCUCGAAUACAUUAGCAUGGAAUAAUAGAAUAGGACGUGUGGUUCUAUUUUGUUGGUUUCUAGGACCGCCGUAAUGAUUAAUAGGGAUAGUCGGGGGCGUCAGUAUUCAGCUGUCAGAGGUGAAAUUCUUGGAUUUGCUGAAGACUAACUACUGCGAAAGCAUUCGCCAAGGAUGUUUUCAUUAAUCAGGGAACGAAAGUUAGGGGAUCGAAGACGAUCAGAUACCGUCGUAGUCUUAACCAUAAACUAUGCCGACUAGGGAUCGGACGGGAUUCUAUAAUGACCCGUUCGGCACCUUACGAGAAAUCAAAGUUUUUGGGUUCUGGGGGGAGUAUGGUCGCAAGGCUGA
This 563-nucleotide ribosomal RNA is filed under the name Lambertella corni-maris. Its description in RNAcentral is "SSU rRNA". It matches the Rfam family "Eukaryotic small subunit ribosomal RNA", at positions 570 to 1140 of the family's 1831-position model. The record is from RNAcentral. Lineage: Eukaryota; Fungi; Ascomycota; Leotiomycetes; Helotiales; Rutstroemiaceae.